CUGAAAAGUUCAUACUUACUAAUCACUACAGCGAAUGAAAAAAAAGAAAAAAAAGAAAAAAUAAAUAAAUAAAUAAAUAAAUAGUACGUUUACAUAUUAAUGUAUUAUUACGUUUACAUAUUAAUGUAUUAUUACGUGUACAUAUAAAUGCACUAACACGUGUACAAAUACAUAUACAUUUACAUAUAUGUAUUAGUUGACUGAUUGAACAAAAUGAAAAACUAUAAUAAUAAUAAUAAUAAUAUCCCAAAAAAUAAACCAAAGGGAGAAAACAAUAAUUAUAAUGCAAACAAAAUUACUAACAAUUAUAAUAGUAAUAGAAUUAACAAUAGUUAUAACUAUGAUAAUACUAAUACAUAUAAUUAUAAAAAGAAAAACAAUUUAGGUAAAAUGAAUUCAUAUGAUUAUGACCAUUCGAAGGAAAAAGAAAAAGAAAAAAUUAGUACUAAUAAUGAUAUUACUUCUGGUUCUUAUAGAAAAAGCAAUUAUGGCUAUAACUAUAAUCACAAUUAUAAUUAUAAUGAUCAUAUUAGAAAAAAAGAAGCAGUAUCAAAUUAUGUACAUACAACAAAUAGUAAUUAUAAUAAUAGCAUAUAUGAAGAAGUAGAUAAAAUUAAUAGUAUAACAUUUGGAUCUAAUUAUGAUAAUCAAGAAUGUUUUUUCCCAUACAGCAUGGAUAAUAAUUUUAUAGAAAAUGAAAAAAAAUUAUUUAAAUUAAAUAGCAAAGAUAAUAAAAACAUAAAAAAUGCUGAAUUUAUAAUGAAAAAAAAUAAUGUUGCAAUAAAUAAUAAUAAAAAUUCAAAAUUUACUAAUAAAAGUAAAAAAAAUGAAGUGGGACCUGGUUUUAAACAACCUGAUGGAUAUAUGAAUAGCCAACCAAGGGAUAGCCAACCAAGGGAUAGCCAACCAAGGGAUAGCCAACCAAGGGAUAGCAAACCAAGGGAUAGCAAACCAAGGGAUAGCAAACCAAAAGAUAGCGAGCCAAAUAAUAGCGAUCCAAACAAUAGCAGAAGUAAUGACAAUGUAGAAGAGAAAAAAAAAAGAAAAAAAGAGUAUGUAUUAAACGAAAACAAUAAUGAUAAUAGUAACAUAAACAAACACAGUAGUCAUAGUAAUAAAAACAUGAAUACGGAUAAUAUAGUUUAUAAGGAUGAAAUAAAUGAAAAAACAUAUGAUGAUAUAUUCCAAUUUGAGAAUAAGGCGUCAGACUUAACAAAAUUAAUAAACAAAAAUAUAUUUUAUUCUAAUAAUAAUGAUGAUGAAUUAAACAAUGAACAAUUAUUAGAAAAUGAAUCCAUAUUCGAUUUUAAUAACAUAAGCAGAGAUAUUAACAAUGAAAAUACUACCGAUAAGAUUCAAAAAAUUAACAGUAGUAUAGGUGAUAAUAAAAAUAAUACAAAGAAUGCUAGUAGCACAUUUAAUAGUAACAAUAAAACAAGAGGAUUUAAAUAUAAUUUAAUGAAAUAUACAGAAAAUGAAUCAGAUAAAUUGGAAAAACGAGAAGAAACGCAACGGGUACAUGUACAAACAGAAGAAUGUAUGCUAAACCAACGGAAUGUAAACCUUCAAAGGUAUAGCGGAUAUUCGCAUGGACAUAAAGCAGACCCACACGAACAAACCGAAAAGAAAUUAACAGAUUUAUAUUUUUUAGAAACAUGUGAAAAAUUAUAUAAUGAUAAAAUGUACCAUGGGAAUUAUGAAGAUAAUAUAAAUUAUGUUAAUAUUUUAAACGAAAGAAAUAUAAGCAAUACAAGUAAUAAAAUAAAAAAAGUUGUAAAAAGUAAUACAGUAAAGGAAAAUACUUUUGAACAUGAAGAGAUUCAGGGUGAUAUGAAACAAUUUAAUGAGCUAUCAAGCGAGUAUUAUAAUAAUAAUUGUACAAACGUUUAUUUGGAUGUUAAUAGUGGAAAGUCAAAUAUGUACAAAUUAAAUGAUGAUGGUGAUGGUGAUGGUGAUGGUGAUUAUGAUAAAAUGAAUAGUUUAAUUACAAAUCCAAAUGAAAAAUAUAAAAGAUCAUAUUUAAAUUCAUAUAAUAAAAAGCAUAACGAUUUGAAUGAUAAUGGAAGUAAAUAUGAACCCGAAUUUGAUGACAAUAAUUUUAUAAUGAAUGUAAAAAAAUUAAGUAAAAAAAAAGAUAAUUUAAUCGAAGAUAUAUUUAGCCUGGAUAAUAUAGGUUCCGCUGAAAUGUUUGAAAAAAUGAAUAAUGAUAUGACUAUCAAUUUUAUGAAUAUAAAAAUCGAUAAGGACAUAUUAAGUGAUGAGAAUAUUUUGAAGGCAGCUAAUGAAAUUUUAUUAGAAAAAUGUUUAGAUGAACCGAGGUCAGAAGUAAAAGCAGUUUAUAAUUCUGAUUUAAACAUCCACAGGGAUGAACAAAUGAAUAUGUUAAAAAAAAAAAAAAAAAAAAAAAAUGAUAAAUUUAAACAAAAGAGUAACGAAAUUGAUAUGAGUCAAAUAGCAGAUACAAAUUAUGUGAAUAUAGUUAAUAAACACCAUUUAAAUAAUAAUAAAGAUAUUAAGUUGAUGUUAAAAAAAAACAAUAACUGUAUAGAUACUACUAUAAUUGAUAGUGCUAACAAUAAUAGUAUCAUUAACUAUGAAAAAAACCACAACAACAAAGGUGAACAGAAUAAUAAUAUGAGUUUACACAAGAAAACCAUAUAUGAUAUGUAUAACAUAGAUGAUACAUCAUACAACAUUUACACAGAUAAAUACGAUAAUAACGAUUAUAAUACCCAUAAUCAGAACGAUAAAAGAAGUAAUAAUAAUAAUAAUAAUAAUAAUAAUUAUAAUAAUAAUUAUAAUAAUAAUAAUAAUAAUAGUAAUAAUAAUAAUAGUAAUAAUAAUAAUAGUAAUAAUAAUAAUAAUAGUAAUAAUAAUAAUAGUANNNNNNNNNNUAAUAAUAAUAGUAAUAAUAAUAAUAAUAGUAAUAAUAAUAAUAGUAAUAAGAGCAAUAGUAGUUGUAGUAGUAGUAGCAUUAUUAUUAAUAACAAUCAACACCAUCGUAAUACACAUAUCACUCCUUUACCACAUGGUGACAAUGUUUUAAAGAACUACGAAUCUUAUAACAACAGUAAAAUUUAUAACAGUUAUUAUAAUAAUCAUCAUAAUAAUAACAAUAGUAAUAAUAAUAAUAAUAAUGUUCAAAUUGCUACAAUUAAUAAUAGUAAAGGGAGUGACAGUAACUCUUGUUUUUCCAACAAUAAUAAUGAUACUAUAAUUGUUCUGAACGAAAAUAGUAUUAAUUUAUUAAUAAAAAAUAAUAUGCUUAAAUUUACUACGUUUUUAAAAAAUAUAUACAAGCAAACUAAAAUAAACGAUUUAAAUGAUGACCUAUAUAAUUACUAUAGAUUUAUAAAUAAAAUAAAUGCGAAUAUUAAGGAAGUUAAUUAUGAUAUGGUAUAUAAACAGUUAAUGCAAAACAGUGAUAAAGAUAAAUUACUACGAAUACAAUUAUCAUAUAUGAUAAUAAACACAUCUAUACAAAAGAAUACUGGUAAAUGGACUUUUAAAACAGAAGAUAAAGACAAAGAAAGGGACAGGUUAAGCGAAUCGAAUCGAUAUAUACAAUAUGGUAAUAACUAUUUUAAAAAUAAAAAUGAACAGAGACAUGGGAAUUAUGUUUUAAAACAAUAUUUAUAUAAUAAUGAUAGUAGUUGGGCUAACGGUCAUAUUACUGCUCAUAGUGAUGAACAAAACAGUGAUGAUAGCGGUAGUUAUAAUAAUAACAUGAACAACAGUGGUAUAUGCUUUAAUAGUUACGAAACUAGUUUUAACAAUCUUGAAAAAAAAAAAAAAAAAAAUUAUAAUAAUAAUAAUAGUAAUAAUAAUAAUAAUAAUAGUAAUAAUAAUAAUAAUAAUAAUAAUAAUAAUAGUAAUUAUAAUAAUAAUAAUAAUAAUAGUAAUAAUAACCUUAACAACAUAAAUAAUGCUGUAGUGAAAAAUAAUCAUGCGUUAAACGAUUAUUUUAGAAUGCUCUAUGCAAAUAAAUCCAAUGAAAAAUUAUAUAAUAUUAUGGGUAAUGAAAAUGACUUUAAUAUAAAUAACGAUAACAUUUUUAAUACGAAUUUGAAUAAUGUUUUGAAUCUCCCCUUUAAUUAUAAGCACGACAUGAACAAAAUGGGGGGUAGGCGAUAUAUGGAUGGGAAAAACAUAAAAGAGGAACCAAAUAACAACCUAAGUGAAAAUGAUGAAAGUAAAAAAAACAAAAGCGUCCUUAACAAUGAUACCAGUAAUGAUAUCACACGUACUCAAAAUCAAAGCCAAAGUCAAAAUCAAAGCCAAAGUCAAAGUCAAAGUCAAACUCCAGAGAGCACUCACAGCGAUGGCGGUGCCGGUGAUGAAUAUGAUGAAAAAAAAGAUAUGUGCAAAUAUGAGCACAUAAAAAAAUUAGGAAGACAGGUAUAUGCAACUGUACAUGAACCAAGAAAUUUAAUUACGUUGACUAAAAAUAAAGAAGUCGAAGAUUGUGAUGUUAUAAUACAAAACAUUGAAAAAAUAAUAAAUAGAGAAUUUUCUAAUGUCAUAAUAAGUAAUGAUAAUUAUAGAGAUAAAGGUAUAAUUGUUACCAAAGAAAAAGAUAAUAUUAUGGCAAUUAACGACAGUUGUAAUAAUUUAUUAAACAGUAAUAUAAAAAAAAACACUACUUAUAUGUUAAAAAACAAAUUAAAUAUAAAUUACAAUGAUAUAAAUACCAACUUAAAAAAUAAUAUUAUAAAAAAGUUAUUAGAAAUAUUAUGGGAUAUUUAUAUUGAUAUAAAAAAAUUAUACAAAGACAUAGAAAAUUGUCCUUAUACUCAUGUUGAAACUAUAUCUAAAUAUACAGAUGAUAUAAAAAAAAAAAAAAAUUUUUUUUUUAAUUUUCUUUUUUUAAAUAAAUUAAAUAAUAAUAAACCAAUAAGUAAUUCAUUUUUUAAUCAUAAUAACAUUUUUACAAAUAAAAGUAUUAACAACAUAGAUAUUAUUAUAAGUAAAUAUUUAUAUACAUAUUUAACAAAUUAUAGUACAUUAUGUAGUAAUGACAAAGUAAAUAAUGACAGUGAACAUAUAGUGUUAUAUCCUAAUAUAAAAAAUUUAAUUAAACAUUUAGCCUUUGUUGAUAAACCUAUGUCAGUAGUAAAUUAUGUUAGAUGUUUGUAUGAUACCGAUGGUGAAAAGCGAAAAUGGUGUAAAGUAUGUCAGUACAAUAUGACUGAUAAUCAAAAAAAUGGCCCUACACAAAAGGGAAAGUGCAAGAACUGUUCGAAUAGCACGUGUAAUAUGAGUAGAACAAAUAAAAUGAGUAUGAAUGACACAUAUAACAAAAAACACAGGAUCAACUUGAAUAACAUCUUUUGGUAUAUUUUUCCAUAUAAUAAUAAUAUAGCUCAACUUGAAAAAUUUUGUUUAUUUGGAAAAACGAUAAUGUUUAACAGAAAAUACGUUCACUAUAAUUUUGAAAUGUAUAACAGUUGUGUUGGUGGUGAUGCGGGUGUUGGUGUUGGUGUUGGUGUUAGUGGUGAUGCUGGUGCUGGUUAUUGUGACAUUGUUACGGCUACAGCAUCACUGUUAAAGGAGAAAACAAAAAAAUAUAAAAAGCAAUUGAGUGGGAAUACCAUUUUAGAGAACGACACAGAGGAAUCGAAAUAUCCGUUUCAACUACAUAACGAAAUAGAAAUGGUAGAAAUUGACAAUGCAUUAAUAAAUAAUGAGUUAAACAAAUUAAGAAAUUUUUUUUAUACAACAUUUAAUGGUAUGUUAAAAAUAAAGGGUGCUUAUAUUUUUAAAAAAAUACUUAAAAUGUUAAAAAAAAAAAAAAGGAUGUUUUUAUUAUAUACAAUUUUUAAUAAUUAUUUAUUAAUGUAUUAUAUUUUGUCAUAUGCAGAUACUUGUUUUGAUACUAUGUUAGAAUAUAAAGAAUUUUUAAAAAUACAAUUAUUAUAUAUUAAUACAAACAUAAAUACACUUAAUGCCUUAUUAAAAAGUGAAAAAAAUCAGAUACGUGAUAUUAUCAAACAACCUAACAGCAAUACAAAUAGUAUAAAACAACUCAACAUUAGACAUAAAUUAUACAAUACCAACAUUUAUACAUCAUUAUAUAUACAUUUAGUAGAUAUAUCAUUAUCUUAUGCAUUUACUCCGCACAUUGGAAUUACUUAUAUUCAAAAUGUUUUAGCAAUAUUCUUAUUUUACAAUUACAUAUGUUUGUAUAUAACAAAACUUUUGUUUUAUAAGAGUGGAGCCGCCCUAAUAAUUAUAUUGUUAGUAAAAAUAAUUCCUUAUCUUAAGGAGCUAGAUAGGUUUGCUUGUUUGUUUGCUUUUUUUUUUUUUUUUUUUUUUUUUUUUUUUAUUACGCAUUCGCUCUUUCAUAUAUUUGUAUAUUUUAUUUAUCAUAUUAUAUUUGAAGCAGAAAAAAAAGAAUACAUAAACGUGACCACUUAUUUUAAUAUAAUGCUUUUUUAAUAACAUUUUUAUCAUUUGUAAUUAUCACGUAAACAAAAAUGGGUUAUAUAUAUGUAUAUAUAUAUAUAUACAUGCAUGUGUUUUUCCCUCUUUUCAGAAACCUGAUAGUUUGCUUUCUCUAUUCAGUAUUACAUAGCGUAUUUUACAUUCUAUGUAAUAUUUUUGUUUAUUUUAUGAAAAAAGUGAACAAGGAGAAUAAAAAACAAGAGUCACCAUGCA
This 6657-nucleotide long non-coding RNA is filed under the name Piliocolobus tephrosceles (Ugandan red Colobus). RNAcentral's name for it is "lncRNA (ENSPTEG00000009281.1)". Lineage: Eukaryota; Metazoa; Chordata; Mammalia; Primates; Cercopithecidae. The record is from RNAcentral.